Molecule: ribosomal RNA, 800 nt
Filed under: uncultured bacterium
Lineage: Bacteria
Description: bacterial SSU rRNA
Rfam family: Bacterial small subunit ribosomal RNA
Source: RNAcentral
AGAGUUUGAUCCUGGCUCAGAAUCAACGUUGGCGGCGCGCUUAACACAUGCAAGUCGGACGAGAAAGUGGAGCAAUCCAUGAGUACAGUGGCGUACGGGUGAGUAACACGUGGGUAAUCUACCUUUUGGUGGGGGAUAACCUGGGGAAACCUGGGCUAAUACCGCAUAAUCCCGCAAGGGCAAAGCAGCAAUGCGCCGAUAGAGGAGCCCGCGGCCGAUUAGCUAGUUGGUGGGGUAAUGGCUCACCAAGGCGAAGAUCGGUAGCCGGCCUGAGAGGGCACACGGCCACACUGGCACUGAAACACGGGCCAGACUCCUACGGGAGGCAGCAGUGGGGAAUCUUGCACAAUGGGGGCAACCCUGAUGCAGCGACGCCGCGUGAGCGAUGAAGUCCUUCGGGAUGUAAAGCUCUUUCGACGGGAACGAUAAUGACGGUACCCGGAGAAGAAGCUGCGGCUAACUACGUGCCAGCAGCCGCGGUAAUACGUAGGCAGCAAACGUUGUUCGGAAUUACUGGGCGUAAAGAGUGUGUAGGCGGUUGGGUAAGUUUGGUGUGAAAUCUCCCGGCUUAACUGGGAGGGUGCGCCGAAAACUGCCUGGCUUGAGUACUGGAGAGGAAAGCGGAAUUCCUGGAGUAGCGGUGAAAUGCGUAGAUAUCAGGAGGAACACCGGUGGUGUAGACGGCUUUCUGGACAGUCACUGACGCUGAGACACGAAAGCGUGGGGAGCAAACAGGAUUAGAUACCCUGGUAGUCCACGCCCUAAACGAUGCAUACUUGGUGUGAGUCCUUCAUUGGAUU